This 661-nucleotide ribosomal RNA is filed under the name uncultured cyanobacterium. Its description in RNAcentral is "bacterial SSU rRNA". It matches the Rfam family "Bacterial small subunit ribosomal RNA", at positions 99 to 794 of the family's 1533-position model. Lineage: Bacteria; Bacillati; Cyanobacteriota. The record is from RNAcentral.
CGGACGGGUGAGUAACGCGUGAGAAUCUGCCUGCAGGUCGGGGACAACAGCGGGAAACUGCUGCUAAUCCCGGAUAAGCCCUAGGGUAAAAGAUUUAUUGCCUGGAGAGGAGCUCGCGUCCGAUUAGCUAGAUGGUGAGGUAAGAGCUCACCAUGGCGACGAUCGGUAGCUGUUCUGAGAGGAAGAUCAGCCACACUGGGACUGAGACACGGCCCAGACUCCUACGGGAGGCAGCAGUGGGGAAUUUUCCGCAAUGGGCGAAAGCCUGACGGAGCAAGACCGCGUGCGGGAAGAAGGCCCUUGGGUCGUAAACCGCUUUUCUUAGGGAAGAAGCUCUGACGGUACCUAAGGAAUCAGCCUCGGCUAACUCCGUGCCAGCAGCCGCGGUAAUACGGAGGAGGCAAGCGUUAUCCGGAAUUAUUGGGCGUAAAGCGUCCGCAGGCGGCUUAUCAAGUCUGCUGUCAAAGACUGGGGCUCAACCCUGGGGAGGCAGUGGAAACUGAGAAGCUAGAGUGCAGUAGGGGUAGAGGGAAUUCCCAGUGUAGCAGUGAAAUGCGUAGAGAUUGGGAAGAACACCGGUGGCGAAAGCGCUCUACUGGGCUGCAACUGACGCUGAGGGACGAAAGCUAGGGGAGCGAAAGGGAUUAGAUACCCCUGUAGU